GCUUACGGCCAUACCACCUUCAAUGCGCCCGAUCUCGUCUGUAUCUCGGAAGCUAAGCAGGGUCAGGCCUGGUUAGUACUUGGAUGGGUGACCGCCUGGGAAUACCAGGGUGCUGUAAGCU
This is a ribosomal RNA of Larimichthys crocea (large yellow croaker), 121 nucleotides long. The record is from Ensembl. Lineage: Eukaryota; Metazoa; Chordata; Actinopteri; Sciaenidae.